This 158-nucleotide ribosomal RNA is filed under the name uncultured bacterium. RNAcentral describes it as "partial 16S ribosomal RNA". It matches the Rfam family "Bacterial small subunit ribosomal RNA", at positions 355 to 507 of the family's 1533-position model. The record is from RNAcentral.
UGGGGAAUUUUGGACAAUGGGCGAACUGGAUCCAGCAAUGCCGCGUGCAGGAAGAAGGCCUUCGGGUUGUAAACUGCUUUUGUACGGAACGAAACGGUCUGGGUUAAUACCCUGGGCUAAUGACGGUACCGUAAGAAUAAGCACCGGCUAACUCCGUG